GACGAACGCUGGCGGCGUGCCUAAUACAUGCAAGUAGAACGCUGAAGGAGGAGCUUGCUUCUCUGGAUGAGUUGCGAACGGGUGAGUAACGCGUAGGUAACCUGCCUUGUAGUGGGGGAUAACUAUUGGAAACGAUAGCUAAUACCGCAUAAUAGCAGUUGUUGCAUGAUAACUGUUUGAAAGGUGCAAUUGCACCGCUACCAGAUGGACCUGCGUUGUAUUAGCUAGUUGGUGGGGUAACGGCUCACCAAGGCGACGAUACAUAGCCGACCUGAGAGGGUGAUCGGCCACACUGGGACUGAGACACGGCCCAGACUCCUACGGGAGGCAGCAGUAGGGAAUCUUCGGCAAUGGACGGAAGUCUGACCGAGCAACGCCGCGUGAGUGAAGAAAGUUUUCGGAUCGUAAAGCUCUGUUGUAAGAGAAGAACGAGUGUGAGAGUGGAAAGUUCACACUGUGACGGUAUCUUACCAGAAAGGGACGGCUAACUACGUG
RNAcentral lists this ribosomal RNA (495 nucleotides) under uncultured bacterium. Its description in RNAcentral is "partial 16S ribosomal RNA". It matches the Rfam family "Bacterial small subunit ribosomal RNA", at positions 28 to 507 of the family's 1533-position model. The record is from RNAcentral.